UACGAAGGGGGCGAGCGUUGUUCGGAAUUACUGGGCGUAAAGGGCGCGCAGGCGGCCUUAGAAGUCAGAUGUGAAAGCCCCGGGCUCAACCUGGGAAUGGCAUUUGAUACUCUGAGGCUGGAGUACGGGAGAGGAGAGUGGAAUUCCCAGUGUAGAGGUGAAAUUCGUAGAUAUUGGGAAGAACACCGGUGGCGAAGGCGGCUCUCUGGACCGUAACUGACGCUGAGGCGCGAAAGCGUGGGGAG
RNAcentral lists this ribosomal RNA (245 nucleotides) under uncultured Azospirillum sp. Its description in RNAcentral is "partial 16S ribosomal RNA". It matches the Rfam family "Bacterial small subunit ribosomal RNA", at positions 524 to 768 of the family's 1533-position model. The record is from RNAcentral. Lineage: Bacteria; Pseudomonadati; Pseudomonadota; Alphaproteobacteria; Rhodospirillales; Azospirillaceae.